RNAcentral lists this unclassified non-coding RNA (305 nucleotides) under Campanophyllum sp. Its description in RNAcentral is "partial contains 5.8S ribosomal RNA, internal transcribed spacer 2, and large subunit ribosomal RNA". Lineage: Eukaryota; Fungi; Basidiomycota; Agaricomycetes; Agaricales; Cyphellaceae. The record is from RNAcentral.
CGCACCUUGCACUCUUUGGUAUUCCGAAGAGUAUGCCUGUUUGAGUGUCAUUAAAUUCUCAACCUUGAAAUAUUUUGUAGAUAUCUUCAAAGGCUUGGAUGUGGGAGUUGCUGGUUUCUUGUUGAAUCAGCUCUUCUGAAAUGUAUUAGUGAAGGCUUGUAAGCUUUCUCUUUGGUGUGAUAAUUAUCUACGCCUUAGGGUUAGGGUUUACAUUUUAAUGGUCUUCUGCUUCUAACAGUUCAUUCACUUGAACAACUUUUUAUUGACUUGACCUCAAAUCAGGUAGGACUACCCGCUGAACUUAA